RNAcentral lists this ribosomal RNA (1232 nucleotides) under Leptographium lundbergii. Its description in RNAcentral is "SSU rRNA". It matches the Rfam family "Bacterial small subunit ribosomal RNA", at positions 94 to 1396 of the family's 1533-position model. The record is from RNAcentral. Lineage: Eukaryota; Fungi; Ascomycota; Sordariomycetes; Ophiostomatales; Ophiostomataceae.
AGUGGUGUACAGGUGAGUACUUGAUUAUCAACCUACCUUAAAGCAAGGGGAAAUCCCUUAUAUUAACAAAGGUUAUUCCGCUUUAAGAUGAUUAGAUAAAUCAUAGAGAUAGGUAGUUGUUAAGGUAAUGGCUUAACUAGCCCAAAAUUCUCUUAGUCGAAACUGAAAUGGUUGAUCGACCACAUUGGGGCUGAAAAAAACCCAAUACAAGUGAGUACAGCAGUGGGGAAUAUUGGUCAAUGGUCUAACGACUGAACUGGCAACUUGGAGGAAUGGCCUAUCUUAUUAAGUAAAUAGUAAGAAUUAGAGUGAAAUGAUGGUUAAAUCGAUUAUCGAAUAAAAUUCUAAAUAUAUAAAUUAUAAUGACUAUAUAUAUUUAUGUCUUGACUAAUUACGUGCCAGCAGUCGCGGUAAUACGUAAGAGACUAGUGUUACUCAUUUUUAAUAGGUUUAAAGGGUACCCAGACGGAAGAAAUUUGCCUGUAAAGGAACAAUUUCUAUCUAGAGUUUAAUAUAAGAAGGUCGUACUUGUGGAAUAGAGAUGAAAUACUUUUAUACCUAAUAAGGGACUGGUAAAGGCGAAAGCAACCUUUUAUGUAAAAACUGACGUUGAAGGACGAAGGCUUAGAACACGAAUAGGAUUAGAUACCCUAGUAGUCUUAGCAGAAAAUGAUGAAUGUCAUAGGUUAGGUUAUACUUAGUCUAUAAAUGAAAACGUAAGCAUUUCACCUCAAGAGUAACGUGGCAACACGGAAACUGAAAUCACUAGACCGUUUCUGACAUCAGUAGUGAAGUAUGUUAUUUAAUUCGAUGAUCCACGAAAAACCUUACCACAAUUAGAAUUGUAUUUAUACUAUUUAUAUUAUAAAUAUAACGAGUGUUGCACGGCUGUUUCCAGUUAAUGUUGUGAAACUAUGGCUUCGGCCAUGAAAUUAACGAAAACCCUUGCUUUAUUUAUAAAUAUUUUUUAAUAAAGCUGCUUUUAUCAUCAUACCGAUAAAAUAGUAGGGCCAAAGACAAGUCAUCAUGGCCUUUAUAUUGUGGGCUAUAGACGUGCCACAUAUUCCUAGACAAAGAGAUGCGAAAAUGCGAAUUUAAGCUAAUCUCAAAAAAUAGGAUAAAAUAGGAUAAGGAUUGUAGUCUGAAACUCGACUACAUGAAUAAGUAAUUACUAGUAAUCGUGAAUCACCAUGUCACGGUGAAUAAUAUCUCGGAUUGGUACUAACCACUCG